AUCCAGCUGAUGAGUCUCAAAUAGGACGAAACGCGCGUCCUGAAU
This 45-nucleotide non-coding RNA is filed under the name Schistosoma margrebowiei. Lineage: Eukaryota; Metazoa; Platyhelminthes; Trematoda; Strigeidida; Schistosomatidae. The record is from RNAcentral.